RNAcentral lists this ribosomal RNA (503 nucleotides) under uncultured bacterium. Its description in RNAcentral is "partial 16S ribosomal RNA". It matches the Rfam family "Bacterial small subunit ribosomal RNA", at positions 30 to 523 of the family's 1533-position model. The record is from RNAcentral.
AUUGAACGCUGGCGGCAGGCUUACCACAUGCAAGUCGAGCGGGGUGAUGGUGCUUGCACUAUUACUUAGCGGCGGACGGGUGAGUAAUGCUUAGGAAUCUGCCUAUUAGUGGGGGACAACAUCUCGAAAGGGAUGCUAAUACCGCAUACGUCCUACGGGAGAAAGCAGGGGAUCACUUGUGACCUUGCGCUAAUAGACGAGCAGAAGGUGGAUUCGCUAGUUGGGGGGGUAAAGGCCUACCAAGGCGACGAUCUGUAGCGGGUCGGAGAGAAGGAUCCGCCACACUGGGACUGAGACACGGCCCAUACUCCUACGGGAGGCAGCAGUGGGGAAUAUUGGACAAUGGGGGGAACCCUGAUCCAGCCAUGCCGCGUGUGUGAAGAAGGCCUUAUGGUUGUAAAGCACUUUAAGCGAGGAGGAGGCUCUUUUGGUUAAUACCCAAGAUGAGUGGACGUUACUCGCAGAAUAAGCACCGGCUAACUCUGUGCCAGCCGCCGCAGUAA